GUUUUAAUAGUUUAAAAUAAAACUUUGGUUUUGUAAACCAAGAAUAAAAAUUAAUUUUUAAAACU
Molecule: transfer RNA, 65 nt
Filed under: Sinomiopteryx guangxiensis
Lineage: Eukaryota; Metazoa; Arthropoda; Insecta; Mantodea; Thespidae
Description: tRNA-Thr
Rfam family: tRNA
About the family: Transfer RNA (tRNA) molecules are approximately 80 nucleotides in length. Their secondary structure includes four short double-helical elements and three loops (D, anti-codon, and T loops).
Source: RNAcentral